CAGCCGCCGCGGUAAUACCGGCGGCCCGAGUGGCGGUCACUAUUAUUGGGCUUAAAGCGUCCGUAGCCGGGUUGGGAAGUCCUCCGGGAAAUCUGGCCGCUUAACGGUCAGAAUGCCGGAGGAUACUCCCAGCCUAGGGAGCGGGAGAGGCCGAGGGGAUUCCCGGGGUAGGGGUGAAAUACUAUAAUCCCGGGAGGACCACCUGUGGCGAACGCGCUCGACUGGAACGCGUCCGACGGUGAGGGACGAAGGCCAGGGGAGCAAACCGGAUUAGAUACCCGGGUAGUCCUGGCUGUAAACGAUGCGGACUUUGUGUCGGACAAGCUAUGAGCUUGUCCGGUGCCGGAGGGAAACCGUUAAGUCCGCCGCCUGGGGAGUACGGCCGCAAGGCUGAAACUUAAAGGAAUUGGCGGG
RNAcentral lists this ribosomal RNA (414 nucleotides) under uncultured microorganism. RNAcentral describes it as "bacterial SSU rRNA". It matches the Rfam family "Archaeal small subunit ribosomal RNA", at positions 459 to 872 of the family's 1478-position model. The record is from RNAcentral.